GAUGAACGCUGGCGGCGUGCCUAAUACAUGCAAGUCGAGCGAACAGAUGAGGAGCUUGCUCCUCUGACGUUAGCGGCGGACGGGUGAGUAACACGUGGAUAACCUACCUAUAAGACUGGGAUAACUUCGGGAAACCGGAGCUAAUACCGGAUAAUAUAUUGAACCGCAUGGUUCAAUAGUGAAAGACGGUUUUGCUGUCACUUAUAGAUGGAUCCGCGCCGCAUUAGCUAGUUGGUAAGGUAACGGCUUACCAAGGCAACGAUGCGUAGCCGACCUGAGAGGGUGAUCGGCCACACUGGAACUGAGACACGGUCCAGACUCCUACGGGAGGCAGCAGUAGGGAAUCUUCCGCAAUGGGCGAAAGCCUGACGGAGCAACGCCGCGUGAGUGAUGAAGGUCUUCGGAUCGUAAAACUCUGUUAUUAGGGAAGAACAAAUGUGUAAGUAACUAUGCACGUCUUGACGGUACCUAAUCAGAAAGACACGGCUAACUACGUG
RNAcentral lists this ribosomal RNA (497 nucleotides) under uncultured bacterium. Its description in RNAcentral is "partial 16S ribosomal RNA". It matches the Rfam family "Bacterial small subunit ribosomal RNA", at positions 28 to 507 of the family's 1533-position model. The record is from RNAcentral.